This 71-nucleotide transfer RNA is filed under the name Dipodomys ordii (Ord's kangaroo rat). It matches the Rfam family "tRNA". Rfam says of the family: Transfer RNA (tRNA) molecules are approximately 80 nucleotides in length. The record is from Rfam by way of RNAcentral. Lineage: Eukaryota; Metazoa; Chordata; Mammalia; Rodentia; Heteromyidae.
GGGAAUGAGGCUUAGUGGUAAGAGUACUUGCCUAGCAUGCAUGAAGCCUUGGGUUCAAUUCCUCAGUACCA